RNAcentral lists this ribosomal RNA (481 nucleotides) under uncultured eukaryote. RNAcentral's name for it is "eukaryotic LSU rRNA". It matches the Rfam family "Eukaryotic large subunit ribosomal RNA", at positions 670 to 1143 of the family's 3401-position model. The record is from RNAcentral.
GGAGUGUAACACAUAUGCGAGUUUGCGGGUGCAAAAACCCAUAGGCGAAACGAAAGUGAGUAUAAGGUGUGAUGCUUUCUAUACUGGGAGCUGCAACAUCGACCAACCUUGAUCUUCUGUGAAGGGUUUGAGUAAUAGCAUAUCUGUUACGACCCGAAAGAUGGUGAACUAUACUUGAGCAGCCUGAAGCCUGAGGAAACUCAGGUGGAAGGGCGCAGCGGUACUGACGUGCAAAUCGUUCGUCAGACUUGAGUAUAGGGGCGAAAGACUAAUCGAACCAUCUAGUAGCUGGUUCCCUCUGAAAUUUCUCUCAGGAUAGCUGGAACAAAUCUAGCAGUUUUAUCAGGUAAAGCGAAUGAUUAGAGGACUCGGAGCUCCCAGAGCUUUGACCUAUUCUCAAACUUUAAUUGGUAAGAACUAUUAGUUCUCUUAAUUGAACUAGUAGGUGGAAUGCUUGUUCCAAGUGGGCUUAUCGUGGUAA